GAUGUAGGUUGACACAGUUCGGACUAAUCGAUCAAACUUAUUGUCGCACUAACCUUUUAUGUCUGUUUGUGUUUUGACACAAAUUGGGUUAAAUAUAACCGGGCUAUACACAACUGCCAUACACGUGGGUAGGUCAGCUGUUGUUUUUUGCGUGUUGCUUUGAUUGACAACACUUGAUUUUGUCAGUUUGUGUAGACUUUUUCUUUUCUUUUAUAUUUUAUAUCACUUGUAUUACAUAUGAAACACAACCCCGUACUUUGAAUGUUUCGAAAACAUAAAGUUGGAUAAACAAUUAUAAAUCAAAUGAUGUUUUUUUUAAUAGAGUUUGUAAUUGUUAGAUACAUUUUGAUAUUC
This 354-nucleotide long non-coding RNA is filed under the name Mytilus galloprovincialis (Mediterranean mussel). Lineage: Eukaryota; Metazoa; Mollusca; Bivalvia; Mytilida; Mytilidae. The record is from RNAcentral.